This 253-nucleotide ribosomal RNA is filed under the name uncultured bacterium. RNAcentral's name for it is "partial 16S ribosomal RNA". It matches the Rfam family "Bacterial small subunit ribosomal RNA", at positions 524 to 776 of the family's 1533-position model. The record is from RNAcentral.
UACAGAGGGUGCGAGCGUUAAUCGGAAUUACUGGGCGUAAAGCGUGCGUAGACGGUUUUGUAAGUCGGAUGUGAAAUCCCCGGGCUCAACCUGGGAAUUGCAUUCGAGACUGCAAGGCUUGGGUGCGGAAGAGGGAAGCGGAAUUUCCGGUGUAGCGGUGAAAUGCGUGGAUAUCGGAAGGAACAUCAGUGGCGAAAGCGGCUUCCUGGUCCAGCACCGACGUUCAGGCACGAAAGCGUGGGGAGCAAACAGG